Molecule: ribosomal RNA, 253 nt
Filed under: uncultured bacterium
Lineage: Bacteria
Description: partial 16S ribosomal RNA
Rfam family: Bacterial small subunit ribosomal RNA
Source: RNAcentral
UACAGAGGGUGCGAGCGUUAAUCGGAAUUACUGGGCGUAAAGCGUGCGUAGACGGUUAUUUAAGUCAGAUGUGAAAUCCCCGGGCUUAACCUGGGAACUGCAUUUGUGACUGCAUGGCUGGAGUGCGGCAGAGGGGGAUGGAAUUCCGCGUGUAGCAGUGAAAUGCGUAGAUAUGCGGAGGAACACCGAUGGCGAAGGCAAUCCCCUGGGCCUGCACUGACGCUCAUGCACGAAAGCGUGGGGAGCAAACAGG